GAAAUAUUUAAAAAACACAAGUUGAAGCUUAAAAAAAACAAACACAAGUUGAAUAAAAGAGCAUAUAAGCUGACCAUCCGAAAGAAAAGUAAAUAAAAUCAGACUUCCAAGCUGUAUUGGAAUUUUAAUCUUUCCCGAGAUAUACAACCUAGUAAUGUGCUUCAAACAUUACAAUGCCAAGAAUCUCAGAGAAUAAUAGUAAAUAACCAGGUUUCCACUAGUAGUAACUAUUUGAGCUGUCAUCAU
This 246-nucleotide unclassified non-coding RNA is filed under the name Hevea brasiliensis (rubber tree). Lineage: Eukaryota; Viridiplantae; Streptophyta; Magnoliopsida; Malpighiales; Euphorbiaceae. The record is from RNAcentral.